RNAcentral lists this ribosomal RNA (376 nucleotides) under uncultured Flavonifractor sp. RNAcentral describes it as "bacterial SSU rRNA". It matches the Rfam family "Bacterial small subunit ribosomal RNA", at positions 355 to 746 of the family's 1533-position model. The record is from RNAcentral. Lineage: Bacteria; Bacillati; Bacillota; Clostridia; Eubacteriales; Oscillospiraceae.
UGGGGAAUAUUGGGCAAUGGGCGCAAGCCUGACCCAGCAACGCCGCGUGAAGGAAGAAGGCUUUCGGGUUGUAAACUUCUUUUGUCAGGGAAGAGGAGAAGACUGUACCUGGCGAAUAAGCCACGGCUAACUACGUGCCAGCAGCCGCGGUAAUACGUAGGUGGCAAGCGUUGUCCGGAUUUACUGGGUGUAAAGGGCGUGUAGCCGGGUCUGCAAGUCAGAUGUGAAAUCCAUGGGCUUAACCCAUGAACUGCAUUUGAAACUGUGGAUCUUGAGUGCUGGAGGGGCAAUCGGAAUUCCUAGUGUAGCGGUGAAAUGCGUAGAUAUUAGGAGGAACACCAGUGGCGAAGGCGGAUUGCUGGACAGUAACUGACGG